AGAAAGAAAGAAAGAAAGAAAGAAAGGAAUCCUCAGUUCAAGAAACAAAGAAAGAGGGAUUCUUUGUGGUUUCUGUCAAAGAAUGGCCAAUUUGUUAACUUCUUCUUUCAUGAUUUGCGCUGCCUUAUUCAUCUUGAUCUUGAUGAGGGCAUCAUCCACCGUUCAGGGAAGUGGGGACCACCAGCAACACCUGGGAUGGAUACCCAUCACAUCAUCCUGCAAAGGGUCCAUAGCAGAGUGCAUGGCCGGUAAUGGGGAGGAGUUUGAGCUGGACUCAGAGAUCAGCAGGCGCAUUUUAGCAACCACUAAAUACAUCAGCUAUGGAGCACUGCAGAGGAACACUGUUCCCUGCUCUAGGAGAGGAGCCUCGUACUACAAUUGCCAGCCUGGGGCUCAGGCCAACCCCUACAACCGCGGCUGCAGUACCAUUA
RNAcentral lists this unclassified non-coding RNA (431 nucleotides) under Hevea brasiliensis (rubber tree). The record is from RNAcentral. Lineage: Eukaryota; Viridiplantae; Streptophyta; Magnoliopsida; Malpighiales; Euphorbiaceae.